Molecule: long non-coding RNA, 1112 nt
Organism: Mastomys coucha (southern multimammate mouse)
Lineage: Eukaryota; Metazoa; Chordata; Mammalia; Rodentia; Muridae
Exons: 3
Source: RefSeq, a predicted model, not a curated record
UUUUAAACAUUUUCUAAUGUUAGUGUAUUUCUGCAGGUAUUGGGAAACCAUCAACAAGGCUGAAUGAAAACAUUCCAGCAUGGCUCUCUUGGAAUCAUUCAAAGUAUCUCUAGUAACCCCUUAUCUAUCUUACUUAUCUGAGGCAUUAGUGCACAUAUGUCUGCAAUCAAGACUGGAUGUAUAUUUAAAAACCUUUCAGGGAUAAAAUAAGAUCCACAGAAUUGACUGUCACAAUAACUUUGCAGAAAGAGAAAAGCAUUAGACAGGACCAAGUAGAAGGACACAAGAAAAGACACACUGAAUCUCCACAAAGAAUGUUGAGAACAGGUGAUCAGAGAAAGCAGAGGGAAACUUUGUGAAUGAUGAUCAAAGAAUAAAGGAAACAUUAACUUGAAGUUGACAUGAAGACUGCUAAACAGACUAUAGUAUUCUCAAAACUACAGAAGCUAAACACCAUACAGUAGAGUUUUCGACUGGAUGAUAAUACAUACAAUUGAAAAUUUGUUUUCGUGAGCAGUGGAAGUAGAUGACAGGUUACAAUGUGAGUAACAAGAUGAAGGGAAAGGAGGAGACCAAUACACAGUAUAAAGGUAUUGCUGCCCUGGAACAUUGUGCUAAGCUUUAGCUAUUCUCCAUGACCCUUCCAUGCCUUCAAAACAAGGAUGACAUUGGUGACUUAAAAUUUCAGCUUCUACAGCCAGCAGGAGGUACAAACUCAACUGCUUCUGAAAUUCAAGGUCUGUGUGGCACCUCUGAGAAAACAUUUCCCAGAAGUCUUCACCUUGGUCAUACUGGUCUCUCCUUAAUCACGGCUGAUUCUUCAACACCAGCUUGCCAUUAUCACUGGUUAUAUGAAGAGUUUCACUUUAACUGUUCAGGAAUCAAGACACCGGUGACCCUGCUAUAGUUUUUAAGAGGCUCUAAAACUUCAUUCUGGAUCCUCCCAAACCAGGCCUUCAUCAUCUGCUCUGCCAUUAGCAUGCCUGUCUUCCAAGGGAUUACAGAACAACCUGCUGAGCUCUAAGAACAAAAAUAGACUUUCCAGCUAAACCCCGUGAGUCCUCCCAAAUCCUCCGACAAUCCUCCCAAAACACAUGUUUGGGUCUGUCACA